ACAACGACGGAAGUGGAACGACAGUAAACAAACGAGAGCAAUGGAAGACAUCCACUCGGUAGUGUUCUUUCUGCUCGGCAUGUGACUCUUCAUCACCAAGAGAAGAUGAGCUUUGUUCGAGAGGAGACUGUAGGCUGCGCGGCGGAACACUGCGGAGAAAAUGAGAGUUUGGGCGUUGUUGGAGGACGACCUGUUGCCGAGAAGAAGACGGCGACGCCAGAUGGGUGCCGUCUACCUUUCGCCCAAUCUCAGCCAGGAUAUCCUCCAGCUCCCCGAGACCCUGAACAGGAUAAGCGGUGCACCACAUGGAACUCCAGCCCUACGUGGUGUGUUUUCCAGAUGCUUCAAUUGCUGGUCUGAUGAGAUUUUUUUAGCAGUGUAUCACUUUGAACAUGAAUCAACUUUUUUUUUUUUUUUUUAAACAAUUGAUUUCCAAAUGUCAUUAAUACAACAGUUAGUUCAGACCAAGCAAUUUGAUUGGACAAGAGUCAUUCUAUGAGUGGUGAUAUACAAGACAACAGCACUGGGACUUCAUAUCACUCUGCCACGAAAGUGUUUGAAAACGUUCAUUCCGAACUCUGCAGUGAGUGGUUAUUCGUGACUGUGGGUUGUUCACAAAUUUGCAUCGCAAAGACAGAACUAUUUCCAGGAAUAAGAUUGGAUUUAAAGUGUGAAAGGUCAUCAGAUGAGGACAAAAGUAAGCAGAAAAGAUGGGCUAUCCUCUGAAAUUUUCCAUAAAAUAAAAUAAAGAAAAAUAGUAAGUACAGCGGUAACUAAAAGUGCCUAUGUCUCAAAACGUCGUAUGUGGAGACCAUCGUAAAUCAAGGAACCCUGUAUGAAGAGAAUGGAAUCUGAGAAUGUAAGCUCCGUGCCAUCAGAAUGUGAAUUAGACACAUUUUUUACACUGACUUUUUAGAACUGUAUAAUUCUUUCAGAACAAUCUUUAGAUACAAAACUGUGCUAGAAAUGUAAUGUUUUUAAAAAUUCAAAGUUUAAAUCCGGGUUGUGAUCAGGAUGAACGUAAAGUUGCAGCUCAUGGAGGUGCCACCGGAUGGCGCUGUUACACAUUUGCUGUAAACGUGAUCACUUUUGGAGUGAGUCCCAACUAGUGUGUGGUGAGAGCUGAUCCCUGAGGAAAAAAUCCAGUUUCCAUUUGUGUCUGAAAAUUAUUUAUUAAUAGAAUUAUGAAUAGAUGAACAGAGAUAUAUUUGUAAUCGUUGUUCGUCUAUCCAUGGUAGCAACGUGUGUCUUCCAUUACAUGGCACCCUCCAAUAAAGCUGUUGCAAUUCA
Molecule: long non-coding RNA, 1290 nt
Organism: Phycodurus eques (leafy seadragon)
Lineage: Eukaryota; Metazoa; Chordata; Actinopteri; Syngnathiformes; Syngnathidae
Exons: 2
Source: RefSeq, a predicted model, not a curated record